GAUGAACGCUGGCGGCGCGCCUAACACAUGCAAGUCGAACGGCACCCCUCCUCGGAGGGAAGCGAGUGGCGAACGGCUGAGUAACACGUGGAGAACCUGCCCCCUCCCCCGGGAUAGCCGCCCGAAAGGACGGGUAAUACCGGAUACCCCGGGGUGCCGCAUGGCACCCCGGCUAAAGCCCCGACGGGAGGGGAUGGCUCCGCGGCCCAUCAGGUAGACGGCGGGGUGACGGCCCACCGUGCCGACAACGGGUGGCCGGGUUGGGAGACCGACCGGCCAGGUUGGGACUGAGACACGGCCCAGACUCCUACGGGAGGCAGCAGUGGGGAAUCUUGCGCAAUGGGGGGAACCCGGACGCAGCGACGCCGCGUGCGGGACGGAGGCCUUCGGGACGUAAACCGCUUUCAGCAGGGAAGAGUCAAGACUGUACCUGCAGAAGAAGCCCCGGCUAACUACGUG
Molecule: ribosomal RNA, 459 nt
Filed under: uncultured bacterium
Lineage: Bacteria
Description: partial 16S ribosomal RNA
Rfam family: Bacterial small subunit ribosomal RNA
Source: RNAcentral